UACGUAGGGUGCUAGCGUUGUUCGGAAUCAUUGGGCGUAAAGCGCGUGUAGGCUGUUAGUUAAGUCGGGUGUGAAAUCCCUGGGCUCAACCGAGGAAGUGCAUUCGAAACUAAUUAGCUAGAAGAUGGUAGAGGAAGGUGGAAUUCCAAGUGUAGAGGUGAAAUUCGUAGAUAUUUGGAGGAAUACCGAUGGCGAAGGCAGCCCCCUGGGAUAACACUGACGCUCAAGCACGAAAGCGUGGGGAGCAAACAGG
RNAcentral lists this ribosomal RNA (253 nucleotides) under uncultured bacterium. Its description in RNAcentral is "partial 16S ribosomal RNA". It matches the Rfam family "Bacterial small subunit ribosomal RNA", at positions 524 to 776 of the family's 1533-position model. The record is from RNAcentral.